Molecule: RNase P RNA, 388 nt
Filed under: Salibacterium qingdaonense
Lineage: Bacteria; Bacillati; Bacillota; Bacilli; Caryophanales; Bacillaceae
Description: Bacillus qingdaonensis Bacterial RNase P class B
Rfam family: Bacterial RNase P class B
About the family: Ribonuclease P (RNase P) is a ubiquitous endoribonuclease, found in archaea, bacteria and eukarya as well as chloroplasts and mitochondria.
Source: Rfam by way of RNAcentral
ACAUUCGGGCAGUCGCUGCGCUGACAUGCGUAGAGGAAAGUCCAUGCUCGCACAGCCUGAGACGGCUGUAGUGUUCGUGCCCGGCGAAAAAAUAAGCCGGGACGGUCCGGCGUUCCGGACCGAUGGCGGGGAACCGGCCUGUGUCCUGACUGGAUAUGGCCGUAUUACCUUUAAAGUGCCACAGUGACGUAGUCUGUUUGGAAACAAACAGAGUGGAACGCGGUAAACCCCUCGAGCGGGAAACCCAAAUAUUGGUAGGGGAACCUUUCAGAAGGAAUGCAACGGAACGAAAGGGCAGGGAUAACCUCCCUGCAGAUAGAUGACUGCCACCGGCGUGCGAGGUGAACAACCGCAUGAAGCACAACGGGACAGAACAUGGCUUAUAUGA